This 207-nucleotide non-coding RNA is filed under the name Salmo salar (Atlantic salmon). RNAcentral describes it as "Eukaryotic large subunit ribosomal RNA". It matches the Rfam family "Eukaryotic large subunit ribosomal RNA", at positions 1630 to 1836 of the family's 3401-position model. Lineage: Eukaryota; Metazoa; Chordata; Actinopteri; Salmoniformes; Salmonidae. The record is from Rfam by way of RNAcentral.
CGAGGAGUCCAGUGCGGUAACGUGACCAUCCCAGAGAAGCUGACGGGAGCCCCUGGGAGAGUUCUCUUUCUUUGUGAAGGGCAGGGCGCCCUGGAAUGGGUUCACCCCGAGAGAGGGGCCCAAGCCCUGGAAAGCGUUGCGGUUCCGGCGGCAUCCGGUGAGCUCUCGCUGGCCCUUGAAAUUCCGGGGGAGAGGGUGUAAAUCUCG